AAACUCACACCUCCUAAAUGAUACUAAUUCUACUUCUAUCCUUUGUACAUCUUGGCUUUCCUUUAUAUUUUCUCUUCAUUCUUUGCUGCUAAGGUAAGAUCUUAAGGUAGAUAUCUCAAUCUAUCUUCCAGCUCUCAUUAUCUAACUUCUAUAGUUUUCUGUUUUAAGCAGAUACUGUGAAUUAACUCUGUAAAUUAAUUAUUGCUAUAGUCUGCCUUCACUGAACAGCUUAUUUGUAAACGUAAAAUUAA
RNAcentral lists this long non-coding RNA (251 nucleotides) under Bos taurus (domestic cattle). RNAcentral's name for it is "long non-coding RNA NONBTAT007675". The record is from RNAcentral. Lineage: Eukaryota; Metazoa; Chordata; Mammalia; Artiodactyla; Bovidae.